RNAcentral lists this unclassified non-coding RNA (470 nucleotides) under uncultured Sebacinales. Its description in RNAcentral is "partial contains 18S rRNA, ITS1, 5.8S rRNA, ITS2 and 28S rRNA". The stretch from base 209 to 362 matches the Rfam family "5.8S ribosomal RNA". The record is from RNAcentral. Lineage: Eukaryota; Fungi; Basidiomycota; Agaricomycetes; Sebacinales.
UUUCCGUAGGUGACCUGCGGAGGACAUUAGUGAUUUUGAAUCGUUACCUUCAGUGCUGGCUGGUGCUCCAGCAAGUGCACGUUGGUGACUUUCAUCCAUACCCCUGUGCACCUUUGGCCUCUUGCUGGCUUCGGCUGACAGAGGAUUUUUUACACACAACUCGAAUGUAAUGAAAACUACUGUUGUGCGCAAGCACUACCUAAUGUACAACUUUCAACAACGGAUCUCUUGGCUCUCGCAUCGAUGAAGAACGCAGCGAAAUGCGAUAAGUAAUGUGAAUUGCAGAAUUCAGUGAAUCAUCGAAUCUUUGAACGCACCUUGCACCCUUUGGUAUUCCGAAGGGUAUGCUCGUUUGAGUGUCAUUGUACUCUCACACUCUCUGAUCCUUUGGAUUGGGAGUGGUGGACUUGGGUGUUGCUGCUGCUGUGUGGCUCACCUCAAAUGCAGUAGUGCACCUCCUGGUUGGACAU